AGGAGAGGGGGCAUGAUUUUUGUCGACUAUAAAAACCCGUCACUGGCCAGGCUGAUUCACAGGACCUGCAGGUACGGAAAGGACCAUGUCGACUGAGGCCUUCCAUCAGAGCAACCUGGAUGUGAAACUAGGUGAGCCAGACAGGUAAAGGGUAGGGGACACAUCUGACGAAUGAAAAGCUUCGGAUUCAAAUUUUUGACAGUAUUUUCUACAGUAUUUUUGGAGUUUAUCACAGUGCACAUCCAGUACUUCGAUGGAUAAAACUGCACUUGCUUUACGUUGAGCCACACGCACAAUACAUGUGGAUUCAGUUUUGUUCGUUCGGCUCGCGUUAAGCAAGUGCAGAACUUCUUCGGUGCAAACGUCUGUGACCUUUUUGGAUUAGAAGCAUAACUGCUGUGCUUUUUUGUUUGGAAUUGUUUUUUAGAUGGAAAACCACAUAAAUGCAACCGUUGGUGUGAGAUUUUCACAGACAAAUGAAUGAGUCACAACUGAUAAUUUAUCUUCUGAAAUGGUCAUGAUUUACAAUGUCACCUGUUAUCCAACAUCAUGUUUGUUGAGUUAUUCACUUCCUCUCUUCUGUGCUGGUUUUAAAUGAGUGAGGGCGAAGUUCUCACAUAUGCUGCGGUGAUGUAAUGGCAAAAUAAAGUUCUUCUCAACUCCUCA
Labeo rohita (rohu) is the source of this 666-nucleotide long non-coding RNA. RefSeq lists it as uncharacterized. The record is from RefSeq and is a predicted model, not a curated record. Lineage: Eukaryota; Metazoa; Chordata; Actinopteri; Cypriniformes; Cyprinidae. The transcript is spliced from 2 exons.